RNAcentral lists this ribosomal RNA (253 nucleotides) under uncultured bacterium. Its description in RNAcentral is "partial 16S ribosomal RNA". It matches the Rfam family "Bacterial small subunit ribosomal RNA", at positions 524 to 776 of the family's 1533-position model. The record is from RNAcentral.
UACGGAGGGUGCGAGCGUUAUCCGGAAUUACUGGGUUUAAAGGGUGCGUAGGCGGCUUUAUAAGUCAGGAGUGAAAGUUUGCGGCUCAACCGUAAAAUUGCUUUUGAUACUGCGAGGCUAGAAUUAGGAUGAGGUCAGCGGAAUGUGGCAUGUAGCGGUGAAAUGCAUAGAUAUGCCAUAGAACACCAAUUGCGAAGGCAGCUGGCUAGACCUGGAUUGACGCUGAGGCACGAAAGCGUGGGGAGCGAACAGG